This 597-nucleotide long non-coding RNA is filed under the name Cyanistes caeruleus (blue tit). RNAcentral's name for it is "lncRNA (ENSCCEG00000009356.1)". The record is from RNAcentral. Lineage: Eukaryota; Metazoa; Chordata; Aves; Passeriformes; Paridae.
GUGCAGCGAGGGGAGCGCGCGGGCGGCCGGGCAGGGCCUCUGGGGCCUGGCUCUGGGCCUGGGCCCUGCAGAGCCGCUCUUGUGUUUGCCUGCCUGUGCACACCUCUUUCUCUGUUUUUUCACAUCUUUUGAACGUGGGAUUGCUCGUACAUCAUACUGUGCCACUGCAUGAUAAUCAGCUUCAGCAGAUGUCUCUCUUCAAGCCUCUUCUUGGGGCUGAGAAAGAAGGAUUUUUGCAAUAACAGUGUGAGCAGAAAUGCAUUUUCUUGGGAAGAUAAGUUUAUACUUCAUCAAUGGACAGCAUGAGAGGAAGUGAUGCUGUAUUAAAAUCAAAAUCCAAAGGACCAGUCUCAUCAAGGAAUCAGUGUACAAGUCCUGAGAGCCAUGCAAGGGAAAGACGGGAUGGAAGGAGAAGCUGGAAGGAAUGGGUUAAAACCUUGUGCCUUUUCCCCUUUGCACAGAAUUAGCUGGAUGUGUUUUGCCCUUUUUGUCUGGAUCACCCAGACAAACUCCACAACACAUAUCCUGCUUGUGUGCCCUCACUACCAGAAGUCACAAAAUGACAGAGUUUCUCCACCAUGGUUUCAUAAAACUUAG